RNAcentral lists this ribosomal RNA (483 nucleotides) under uncultured bacterium. RNAcentral describes it as "bacterial SSU rRNA". It matches the Rfam family "Bacterial small subunit ribosomal RNA", at positions 28 to 524 of the family's 1533-position model. The record is from RNAcentral.
GACGAACGCUGGCGGCGUGCUUAACACAUGCAAGUCGAACGAUGAACCGGAGCUUGCUCUGGGGAUUAGUGGCGAACGGGUGAGUAACACGUGGGCAACCUGCCCCAGACACCGGGAUAACCAUUGGAAACGAUGGCUAAUACCGGAUACGACCACUUCGGGCAUCCGAUGGUGGUGGAAAGGAUUCUGGUCUGGGAUGGGCCCGCGGCCUAUCAGCUUGUUGGUGGGGUAAUGGCCUACCAAGGCGACGACGGGUAGCCGGCCUGAGAGGGCGACCGGCCACACUGGGACUGAGACACGGCCCAGACUCCUACGGGAGGCAGCAGUGGGGAAUAUUGCGCAAUGGGCGAAAGCCUGACGCAGCGACGCCGCGUGAGGGACGAAGGUCUUCGGAUUGUAAACCUCUUUCAGCAGGGAUGAAGCGAAAGUGACAGUGCCUGCAGAAGAAGCACCGGCUAACUACGUGCCAGCAGCCGCGGUAAU